CCUACGGGAGGCAGCAGUGGGGAAUAUUGGGCAAUGGAGGCAACUCUGACCCAGCAACGCCGCGUGAGCGAUGAAGGUCUUCGGAUUGUAAAGCUCUUUAAGCGGGGACGAAGAAAGUGACUGUACCCGCAGAAUAAGCCUCGGCUAACUACGUGCCAGCAGCCGCGGUAAUACGUAGGAGGCAAGCGUUAUCCGGAAUGACUGGGCGUAAAGGGUGCGUAGGUGGUUUGGCAAGUUGGUAGCGUAAUCCCGGGGCUCAACCUCGGUGCUACUACCAAAACUGUUGAACUUGAGUGCAGGAGGGGUGAAUGGAAUUCCCAGUGUAGCGGUGAAAUGCGUAGAUAUCGAGAGGAACACUCGUGGCGAAGGCGGGUUCCUGGACAUUAACUGACGCUGAGGCACGAAGGCCAGGGGAGCGAAAGGGAGUAGAUACCCCUGUAGUC
This 443-nucleotide ribosomal RNA is filed under the name uncultured bacterium. Its description in RNAcentral is "partial 16S ribosomal RNA". It matches the Rfam family "Bacterial small subunit ribosomal RNA", at positions 338 to 795 of the family's 1533-position model. The record is from RNAcentral.